RNAcentral lists this unclassified non-coding RNA (400 nucleotides) under uncultured fungus. Its description in RNAcentral is "sequence contains ITS1". The stretch from base 1 to 103 matches the Rfam family "5.8S ribosomal RNA", at positions 50 to 154 of the family's 154-position model. The record is from RNAcentral. Lineage: Eukaryota; Fungi.
GAAAUGCGAUACGUAGUGUGAAUUGCAGAAUUCAGUGAAUCAUCGAGACCUUGAACGCACAUUGCGCUUGCAGUCACCUGCAAGCAUGCCUGUUUGAGUGUCGUCCAUCCACCCUCGCCAAGAGGAUCAGGCUCUGAUCCGGAGGCGGUGCUGAGCGUUCGCAUCGGAUGCGAUCGCUUGAAAGCGAGAGGGGUCGCAGGGCGCCGGAUCCAGAUCCGACGGCUCCUGCAGCCCGCGGGUGUCUCUGGCAUGCGCCGUCAUGAUCUGCACCCGCAGCUGCAGCCGCGGAGCCCCGGAAGGGGUCCGCGCCCUCUGCCCCGGCUUACCGCCCCUCCCCCGCGGAGGCGCGGGAACCUUCGAAACUGCGACCUCAAAUCAGGCAAGGCUACCCGCCGAAUUU